UAAACUAGGAUUAGAUACCCUAUUAUAUUUUAACAAUUUUAGGUAGUAAUAUUAUUUUAAUAAAACCUAUGUAAUUUGGCGGCAUUUAUUCAACUUAGAGGAACCUGUUUUUUAAUCGAUACCCCACGAUAAUUUUCACUUUUAAUUACAUCUUAUAUACCUCCAUCUUAAGGAUUAAUAUUUAUUAUUUUCCCCUAAAUAGAAUCUAACAAGUUAGGUAAAGGUGUAGAACAUAUAAAAGUUAAAAUGGGUUACAAUAAACAAAAUUUAAGGAUAAUUAACCAAAACUUAUUUUGAAAAAGGAUUUAUUAGUAAUUUAAGAAUAAUAUUCCUUUAUGAACUAGAUAUAUUAUGUGCACACA
This 362-nucleotide ribosomal RNA is filed under the name Nemoscolus sandersi. RNAcentral describes it as "Nemoscolus sp. 1 RJK-2020 partial small subunit ribosomal RNA". Lineage: Eukaryota; Metazoa; Arthropoda; Arachnida; Araneae; Araneidae. The record is from RNAcentral.